This 422-nucleotide ribosomal RNA is filed under the name uncultured bacterium. RNAcentral's name for it is "bacterial SSU rRNA". It matches the Rfam family "Bacterial small subunit ribosomal RNA", at positions 362 to 776 of the family's 1533-position model. The record is from RNAcentral.
UAUUGGACAAUGGGCGAAAGCCUGAUCCAGCCAUGCCGCGUGUGUGAAGAAGGUCUUCGGAUUGUAAAGCACUUUAAGUUGGGAGGAAGGGCAGUUACCGAAUACGUGACAGUUUUGACGUUACCGACAGAAUAAGCACCGGCUAACUUCGUGCCAGCAGCCGCGGUAAUACGAAGGGUGCAAGCGUUAAUCGGAAUUACUGGGCGUAAAGCGCGCGUAGGUGGUUUGGCAAGUUGGAGGUGAAAGCCCCGGGCUCAACCUGGGAAUUGCAUCCAAAACUGCUUGGCUAGAGUACGGUAGAGGGUGGUGGAAUUUCCUGUGUAGCGGUGAAAUGCGUAGAUAUAGGAAGGAACACCAGUGGCGAAGGCGACCACCUGGACCGAUACUGACACUGAGGUGCGAAAGCGUGGGGAGCAAACAGG